Long non-coding RNA from Coregonus clupeaformis (lake whitefish), 491 nucleotides. RefSeq lists it as uncharacterized. The transcript has 3 exons. The record is from RefSeq and is a predicted model, not a curated record. Lineage: Eukaryota; Metazoa; Chordata; Actinopteri; Salmoniformes; Salmonidae.
UUCUGUGUCAGCUGACGGCCAGUGGACUGCAGAGGCCAAAAAGCUGGUGCCUUCCAUAGAUGAGGCUGCUCUUCAGAUGGAAAUCUUGGAGAUGGGAACAUCUGAUUUGCUCAAAGCUCAACACAAGGAUGCACUGCAUUUUCUUCAAUGAAUGCUAUCAAGAGCCAGGACAGAAACAGACUCUCAGAUUCACAUCUUGGACAGUGCCUCAGGAUUGCCACAACAUAAUACAACCCUGACAUCAGAAAGGUUGCCUCAUCCCGUCGCUCUCACUUCUCUCACUGAUUGAAAGACCGCCUGAACGCAGAUAUCCAAAGCAUGGGUGUUCCAGACAGAAGUGGCCGCUGUGUGUGUGUGUGUGUGUGUGUGUGUGUGUGUGUGUGUGUGUGUGUGUGUGUGUGUGUGUGUGUGUGUGUGUGUGUGUGUGAAUGUGUUUGCUGGACUUUUUGUUUGCUGACUGUUUGCACAGAAUAUGCUCCAGGGGCAUUUCA